UUUUAAAUGGAAAGCUGUGCUGCACAGCUGGGGCUUAACCGAUCCAUUUCUGUGCCAAGAACAGGGAACCAAUGCAGCGCAGUAAGUUCUGUGUGCAAUGAAUUCACUUUUGAACCCUUCCCAAACCUCAAGGUAGAUAGGACUUUUUUUAAAGAUGAUGUAUUUUGGGCUGUUGUGUUUUAUCCUCCACAGAACGCCAGAGCCUUAUCACGUUUGGAGAAGGCUGAGAUUCUGGAGACGACGGUGCAGCAGCUGCGCAGGCUGAAGAAGCAAGGUGCACUUGCUGCUUCCAUUCCGCAAGACAGUCAAGAUUUUGUCUCUGGUUACUGCCACUGCGUCAAUACCAUCUGUACCUUCCUUAACUCAGCUGGCUCCUCUUCGGCACAGGAGAUGAAAUCUCAGAUCCUACAACAUUUGGAAAGGAUUUCAGGGCCCAGGUCUACCAUUACAUCAGCCCUCAAGGCCUGGCAACCAGGCAAGACAGACUCUCUCCCCUCCCACCAACCUUCCUUUCUAUGGGCAACUCCUCUAAUGCCUGCAGGGCCUCCUUUGGAUUCAGACUCCCACACUCACUCAGUUGGGUCUUGGUUGCAGUAUUCAGCUUCUACGCCAUUGCCCCAGCUACAGAAACCUUGGAUUCAGCCAGCCUUGCUUGCGACAACCACCCACGUGUGGAGACCGUGGUGAAUGACAUUCCGGAAAAGUGACUUGUAAUUUGUUGUGGGUAUUUGUUUUUUAAUCUAUACAGACAAACCUCGGUUUUCGAAUGUAAUCCAUUCCGGAAGCCCUUUCGAUUGGUUGCAGGAGCUUCCUGCACUCAAGCGGAAGCCACAUUGGACAUUUGGCUUCCGAAAAACAUUUGAAAACCGGAGCAUUUACUUCCAGGUUUUCGGUGUUCGGGAGCAGAAACAUUCCAAAACGGAGGUGUUCAGGAUCCAAGGUUUGACUGUAUAUUGAUUGUUUUAUUGUCUGCUGUUCUAAAGUUUCUAUUUUUAAAUGAAUGUUUUUAUAUUAUUUUAUGCAGACCACUUAAGUUUCAAAAUUGAAUGACACACACUUGCUCAAUAAAGAGGUUUGGCCUUACUCAAGACAUCCAACUGCAGUAGAUCAAGUAUGAAACAAAGCAGAAUUGCCUUCCCAAAACGAGAUGGCUUUCUGAACUGUGACACUGAAGGCUUCAGCAAAAGGUUUCAGCUCCAAAUAUGAACUCACCUUUGUCUCAGAUGGACAUUUUGCCAUCUAAUGAGCCUCUGAAAUCUGCAGCUCAGUUACCUACAGCAGCUUAAGGCAAGUAAGAUGAAUACACAGAGACAAGCCCUACUUCUCAGUAGAGUCAUUAAGUGCUACGGCAAACAAUGGACAUGCUGUGAACACUGGACCUAGCUUGGAAGGAUCCACUGGCAAUGCUGUCUGAGGCUUGCUAAGUGCAAUUAUUAACACAGUAGAAUAUGUUUGGUUGCCUGCCUAAUCUGCCAGAGCUAAUUCCAUGUUUCGUUGGUAUAAUGCUGAAUAUGACAGUGGGACACUUGAUGUAUUUUAAGAGAUCCUUUUAAAGCAAUAGUUGUAAAUAACUUAACCCUCCAGCGUUUAGCAAUGUCCAGGCAGAAUAUUAAGUAUUCCUCACAAGAGCUGCCAGUCUGAAGGAGAAGGAAAACAGGCCAUUUUCAUUCUGAUCAAGAUUACAACUUCAGGGCCCAGGGAUUUAGUGCUACUCUUGUUCUGUCAAGGAUUCCAUCUUGCAAAUAGUCGCACGCACUGGGAAGAAAGGGUAAAGGUUUUUAAUAAAACUAGCCAUACGCACAGCUUGUCAAACUGACUGAUUCAUAAGAGGAAAUGCGGACUUUUGAGGCCAGGUGUUCAAAGAAUAGUGUCACACAAAGCCAACAAGCGGCCCUGUAUCCCUUGAGAACUCAAGAGACGCAAAGAUGGGAGAUAGAGGCCGACUCCACUUGCUUUACAGGUUCCAUUUCUUUAUUCAACUCAGUAAACAUCUAGUUACAAGUUUCACGAAAUCAAAUUUUAUAAGAUGGGGAGCUGACUGGAUUGGGGCAGAGAGGUAGGGCCUGUUUUGUUUGUCCACACCUCACCUGAUCCCUUCCACCCUUUCAUACAUACCCCAUUUCCAGGGCAGGCAGGCAGGCAGGCCGAGAGCAAAGGCGACUAAAGGUUAUUUUUCCAAGUGCUUGAAACUAAUAGCAGGUCAACAGGUUUCCUUACUUGGUUGCCACUUGAGGUGGGUGGGUAGAUUAAAUACAAACUUCGGAACCAGCCAAACUUGGACCAGGAAAUAGAGGGGGUGGCAAAAACUGAGGGAGACCACUCCUGCACCCCUCCAAAAAACACUAAGGGGAGGGAUUGGGUAGCUCAGUGAGGGCAGGGAGGAGUUAAGAGGAAAAAGAA
Podarcis raffonei (Aeolian wall lizard) is the source of this 2400-nucleotide long non-coding RNA. RefSeq lists it as uncharacterized. The transcript has 2 exons. Lineage: Eukaryota; Metazoa; Chordata; Lepidosauria; Squamata; Lacertidae. The record is from RefSeq and is a predicted model, not a curated record.